This 1962-nucleotide long non-coding RNA is filed under the name Macaca fascicularis (crab-eating macaque). RNAcentral describes it as "lncRNA (ENSMFAG00000051117.1)". The record is from RNAcentral. Lineage: Eukaryota; Metazoa; Chordata; Mammalia; Primates; Cercopithecidae.
CUUCCCAGCUUAAAGUCUCAGGGAGAAAAGAGUGAUUGUCUUUUUCAACAGUUCCAAUAUGAUGAUCAGAAUUGAAUCUAGUUGGCUCUGACUGGCCACUUGCCCAUGUACUCUAGUCACUGGCCUGGGGAAUGUAAUACUCUCACUUGUUUAGGGUUCGUGCCCGUGCUUAUCCAGAAACUGGGUUAGAGUCUGCACUGACUGAAUCAUAGGGUCCUAGCAAUUUGGGGGCAUAUGCAGAGGGGAGGAGGCAGGAGUGGGCAGGUAGGAUCUGAAAGCAGUGGUAACACUGUUAGCUGUUAUGCUGGUCUUAGCAGCAAGUAGGAACUGUGAAGUCUGGGAAAUCGGCCAGGGUUAGGUAGUUCCUAAAGAGCAUUUUAGAAAGGUCAGGUAUCAUCUGUUAACUUGUGUUUAGAUUGCUAAAGAUUGCUGCUCAGCCGGGCACAGUGGCUGACUCCUAUAAUCCCAGCACUUUGGGAGGCCGAGGCGGGCGGAUCACCUGAGGUCGGGAGUUUGAGACCAGCCUAGCCAACAUGGUGAAACCCUGUCUCUACAAGAAACAGUAGCCAGGCGUGGUGGCCUGUGCCUGUAAUCUCAGCUACUCAGGAGGCUGGGGCAGGAGAAUCACUUGAACCCGGGAGGUGGAGGUUGCAGGGAGCCAAGAUUGUGCCAGUGCACUCCAGCCUGGGCAACAGAGUGAGACUCUGUGUCAAAAAAAAAAAAAAAGAUUGCUGCUUAAUCUUUAAUGAGCAUAAAGAUCAACUUGAGAUCUGACACCUGUUUAAGAAUUAUUUGCCUGGACCAAGAUAAUGAAUCUAUUCUCCUAUGUGUCCUUCUAGAUUCUUUAUUGUUUUUUAAUGUAGGUCUGUGAUCUACUUUGAAUAAUUUUUUGUAGCGCGUGAGGUGGGAUCAAGGUGUGUGUAUAUAGAUUUAUCAAAGAGACCAUGGUUUCCUCUCUGCUUAGGCGAUCUCUGCCCCUUGGUUCAUUUGUCUUUUCUUGCAUCAGUAGCAUACGAUCUUAAUUUAUGUUGCUUUGUAGUAUUUUUGGAAAUCUGGUAGUGAAACCCUUCCAACUUUUUUAUUCUUUAAGAUUGUCUUGCCUUCUCUGUUCCCCAGGUUUUCCAAAUUAAUUUUGGAAUCUCAGGAUUAAUUUUCACAAAUGAAUUUUUGGUACUAUGCCUGUAAUUGCAUUGAUUUUGUAAAAUAACCUAAGGAUAAUUGACAUCUUUACAAUAUCGAGUUUUCCAAUUGAUGAGUAUGGUAUAAUUUUCCAUUUACCUAGGUUGUCUUUAACUUUUCUCAAGAGUGUUUUAUAGUUUUAAUUGUAGAAAUCUUGAUUUGUUUAAUUUAUUUCUAGGUUUAUGUUGCUUUGUAUUUUUUUUAUUUGUUUUUCAGUGCUUUUGGCUAGUACAUAGAAUUGCAAUAUCUUUUUGUAUAUUGACUUUAUAGCUGGUGACAUUUAUAAAUUCAAUUAUUUAUUCCAAUACUUUGUGGAUUAUUUUGGAUUUUCUAUAUAUAUAAUCCUGUGAAUACCAAUAAAAGAAAGUCUUACCUAAUUUCUAAACUUGAUGUUUUGCUAAUUUUUCUUGCCUUAUUUCUUUAGAGUAACGAAUAGAAAUGAUGAAAAUGAGUAUCUUUGCCUUGUUUCUGAACUUAGGGAAAUGUGUUUAAUAUUUCACCAUUAAGUAUGACACUACCUAGAAGUUUUUUUAUAAAUAACCUUUAUCAAAUUAAGGGAAUUCUGUUUUGUUCUUGGAUCGUCAAGAUUGUUUUAUAAAAAUCAUGAAUGGACAUUAGAUUUUAUCUAGUGCCUUCUCUGCAUGUAUCAGGGUCUUUUAAGAAAUCCUUGUCAAUCCUGAGAGGUCUGGAAAAGAAAUUCUUAAAUCUGUUAAUAAGGUGAAUUCCUUGAUUUUCAUAUGGUAAAACAACAGCUAUUACUGGAAUAAACCACACUUGGAUAUG